RNAcentral lists this ribosomal RNA (699 nucleotides) under uncultured Alphaproteobacteria bacterium. RNAcentral's name for it is "bacterial SSU rRNA". It matches the Rfam family "Bacterial small subunit ribosomal RNA", at positions 61 to 804 of the family's 1533-position model. Lineage: Bacteria; Pseudomonadati; Pseudomonadota; Alphaproteobacteria. The record is from RNAcentral.
GUCUAACGGGCGUAGCAAUACGUCAGUGGCGGACGGGUGAGUAACACGUGGGAACAUGCCCCGAGGUACGGAACAACUCAGGGAAACUUGAGCUAAUACCGUAUGAUCCGGCAACGGCAAAGAUUUAUCGCCUUGGGAUUGGCCCGCGUCCGAUUAGCUAGUUGGUGAGGUAACGGCCCACCAAGGCACCGAUCGGUAGCUGGUUUGAGAGAACGACCAGCCACACUGGGACUGAGACACGGCCCAGACUCCUACGGGAGGCAGCAGUAGGGAAUCUUGGACAAUGGGGGAAACCCUGAUCCAGCCAUGCCGCGUGAGUGAUGAAGGCCUUCGGGUUGUAAAACUCUUUCGGCGGGGACGAUAAUGACGGUACCCGCAGAAGAAGCUCCGGCUAACUUCGUGCCAGCAGCCGCGGUAAUACGAAGGGGGCUAGCGUUGUUCGGAAUUACUGGGCGUAAAGCGCGCGCAGGCGGCCUUUCAAGUCAGGGGUGAAAGCCCGGAGCUCAACUCCGGAAUUGCCUUUGAAACUGUCAGGCUCGAGUACGGGAGAGGUGAGUGGAAUUCCCAGUGUAGAGGUGAAAUUCGUAGAUAUUGGGAAGAACACCGGUGGCGAAGGCGGCUCACUGGCCCGUUUCUGACGCUCAGGCGCGACAGCGUGGGGAUCAAACAGGAUUAGAUACCCUGGUAGUCCACGCCGUA